This 510-nucleotide ribosomal RNA is filed under the name uncultured bacterium. RNAcentral describes it as "partial 16S ribosomal RNA". It matches the Rfam family "Bacterial small subunit ribosomal RNA", at positions 28 to 507 of the family's 1533-position model. The record is from RNAcentral.
GACGAACGCUGGCGGCGUGCUUAACACAUGCAAGUCGAACGAAGAGCGAUGGAAGCUUGCUUCUAUCAAUCUUAGUGGCGCACGGGUGAGUAACGCGUAAUCAACCUGCCCUUCAGAGGGGGACAACAGUUGGAAACGACUGCUAAUACCGCAUACGAUCCAAUCUCGGCAUCGGGACUGGAUGAAAGGUGGCCUCUAUUUAUAAGCUAUCACUGAAGGAGGGGAUUGCGUCUGAUUAGCUAGUUGGAGGGGUAACGGCCCACCAAGGCGAUGAUCAGUAGCCGGUCUGAGAGGAUGAACGGCCACAUUGGGACUGAGACACGGCCCAGACUCCUACGGGAGGCAGCAGUGGGGAAUCUUCCGCAAUGGACGAAAGUCUGACGGAGCAACGCCGCGUGAGUGAUGACGGCCUUCGGGUUGUAAAGCUCGGUUAAUCGGGACGAAUGGUUCUUGUGCGAAUAGUGCGAGGAUUUGACGGUACCGGAAUAGAAAGCCACGGCUAACUACGUG